RNAcentral lists this ribosomal RNA (1433 nucleotides) under uncultured prokaryote. RNAcentral's name for it is "partial 16S ribosomal RNA". It matches the Rfam family "Bacterial small subunit ribosomal RNA". The record is from RNAcentral.
AACGAACGCUGGCGGCAGGCCUAACAACAGGGGAGCUUGCUCCCGCUGACGAGUGGCGCACGGGUGAGUAACGCGUGGAUACAUGCCUCGAUGUGGGGGACAACAGUUGGAAACGACUGCUAAUACCGCAUAAUCCCUGAGUGGGAAAGGCUUCGGCCGCAUUGAGAGUGGUCCGCGUCGGAUUAGCUAGUUGGUGGGGUAAUGGCCCACCAAGGCGACGAUCCGUAGCUGGUCUGAGAAGGUGACCAGCCACACUGGCACUGACACACGGCCCAGACUCCUACGGGAGGCAGCAGUGGGGAAUAUUGCGCAAUGGGGGAAACCCUGACGCAGCAAUGCCGCGUGAGUGAAGAAGGUCUUCGGAUUGUAAAGCUCUUUCAGCAGGGAAGAUAAUGACGGUACCUGCAGAAGAAGCCCCGGCUAACUCCGUGCCAGCAGCCGCGGUAAUACGGAGGGGGCAAGCGUUGUUCGGAAUCACUGGGCGUAAAGCGUACGUAGGCGGUUUUUUAAGUCAGAAGUGAAAGCCCCGGGCUCAACCUGGGAACUGCUUUUGAAACUGAGAGACUUGAGUUCGAGAGAGGUAAGUGGAAUUCCCAGUGUAGAGGUGAAAUUCGUAGAUAUUGGGAAGAACACCAGUGGCGAAGGCGGCUUACUGGCUCGAUACUGACGCUGAGGUGCGAAAGCGUGGGCAGCAAACAGGAUUAGAUACCCUGGGAGUCCACGCCGUAAACGAUGGUUGCUAGUUGUCAGCAAGUAUACUUGUUGGUGACGCAGCUAACGCAUUAAGCAUCCCGCCUGGGGAGUACGGUGGCAAGAUUAUAACUCAAAGGAAUUGACGGUGGCCCGCACAAGCGGUGGAGCAUGUGGUUUAAUUCGAAGCAACGCGCAGAACCUUACCAACCCUUGACAUACCUGUCGCGGUUGAGAGAUCCAUGGUUCCCUUCGGGGACCGGGACACAGGUGCUGCAUGGCUGUCGUCAGCUCGUGUCGUGAGAUGUUGGGUUAAGUCCCGCAACGAGCGCAACCCUCGCCCUUAGUUGCCAGCAUUCAGUUGGGCACUCUAGGGGGACUGCCGGUGAUAAGCCGCGAGGAAGGUGGGGAUGACGUCAAGUCCUCAUGGCCCUUACGGGCUGGGCUACACACGUGCUACAAUGGCGGUGACAAUGGGGUGCAACCUCGCGAGGGGGAGCUAAUCUCUAAAAACCGUCUCAGUUCGGAUUGUAUUCUGCAACUCGAAUACAUGAAGUUGGAAUCGCUAGUAAUCGUGGAUCAGCAUGCCACGGUGAAUACGUUCCCGGGCCUUGUACACACCGCCCGUCACACCAUGGGAGUUGGUUUUACCCGAAGGCAGUGCGCUAACCGUUCGGAGGCAGCUGACCACGGUAGGCUCAGCGACUGGGGUGAAGUCGUAACAAGGUAGCCGUAGGGGAACU